AUUGAACGCUGGCGGCAGGCCUAACACAUGCAAGUCGAGCGGGGUUUUCGGACCUAGCGGCGGACGGGUGAGUAAUGCGUAGGAAGCUGCCCGAUAGAGGGGGAUCCCAGUUGGAAACGACUGUUAAUACCGCAUAAUGUCUACGGACCAAAGUGUGGGACCUUCGGGCCACAUGCUAUCGGAUGCGCCUACGUGGGAUUAGCUAGUUGGUGAGGUAAUGGCUCACCAGGGCGACGAUCUCUAGCUGGUUUGAGAGGAUGAUCAGCCACACUGGAACUGAGACACGGUCCAAACGCCUACGGGAGGCAGCAGUGGGGAAUAUUGGACAAUGGGCGCAAGCCUGAUCCAGCCAUGCCGCGUGUGUGAAGAAGGCCUUCGGGUUGUAAAGCACUUUCAGCGAGGAGGAAGGGUGGUGUGUUAAUAGCACAUCAUUUUGACGUUACUCGCAGAAGAAGCACCGGCUAACUCUGUGCCAGCAGCCGCCGUAA
This 488-nucleotide ribosomal RNA is filed under the name uncultured bacterium. RNAcentral's name for it is "partial 16S ribosomal RNA". It matches the Rfam family "Bacterial small subunit ribosomal RNA", at positions 30 to 523 of the family's 1533-position model. The record is from RNAcentral.